Molecule: long non-coding RNA, 1589 nt
Organism: Leptonychotes weddellii (Weddell seal)
Lineage: Eukaryota; Metazoa; Chordata; Mammalia; Carnivora; Phocidae
Source: RefSeq, a predicted model, not a curated record
UUUCCAACGCUACGCGGACGGCGGCGGCUCGAGGGGUUUGGCUGUCUCUUCUGUGGUGAGGAGCCACUAAAGGACUGUCAGCAGGAAAAUGAUCAGGACAAACAUGGAUGUAUUGGCUGGGUGAGCCAAUCCUCAGAGCAAGGAGACAAUGAAGAGACAUCGCCGAUGGUCGAAGUACAACAUGACAAAGCCCUUGACCAAGGCAGCAUUCGAGGUGAUGGAGAUAAAGGAUUAAAUGCAAGAGAUAUUUAGGUGACAUGUUUGAUAAGAUUUGGUGAAUGACUGAUAAUUGUCAUCCAGAUGACAUGGCAGUCUCUGAGGAGUGUUCUAAGAAGGCAAGCCCCAAAACACAAGCACCUAUCAAGCCUCUGCUGGCUUUGCGUUUACUGAUGUUCUACUGGCCAAAGCAAGUCACAAGGUCAAGCCCAGAAUCGAUGUGACGGGAGAAGGAAAGUGGGAAAUUCCGUGACCACCCUGAGGAGUAAUUCACUGGGGAGCAUUACUUAUCCAUGUGAACUGUUAGGAGACAGGCAGAAAAAAAUAAUAAAGGGAGACAUCAAAAAAGAAGCCACUGAAGACAACUCAUGAAGAUCAAUCUGAAAGGAAAAAUGAGACCUCAAGAGAGGAGAGUUUCUAGAAGGAAAAGAGCAACAAGUCAAAUGUCACAGAGGGAGCAAGAAGGAAAGGAAUGAAAAGUGUUCAUUGGAUUUGGUCUUUGUUAACCUUUUCAGUUUCGAGUGUUGAGGGCAAAAGCUAGAUUGCAGAGGGGUGAGAAAUUUAAUGGGAGCUGAGGAAGUGUAAGCAGUUGGUGUAGACUUCAGACUGUAGUAGUGUAGUCAUGAAAUGAAGAGAGAUGGGAUGGUAGCUAGAGGAGACCUCACAUCAAAGAGAGGGUAGCAGGUUUAAAAAACAAACAAACAAACAAACAAACAAAACAAAACAAAAACAACCAUCAGAAUGAUAAGCAUCCCUGUAGAGUAGGAGACGGGAGCAGGAGGGGAGUGGGCAACCACAUCAGGGAGUGAGGCUCAUGGGGAAGAUGUCAUCAAGCCCUGGGUGGACGACAGGAAAAACACCUGUCUUUCUGGAACCCAAGAAAGGUGGGUAAAAAUGGCAAUAAGUUUGUAGGUUGGGGCAGGGAGAGAUGACAGAAAGUUAAGCAGAUUCAUUUUAUAGUAGCUUCUGUUUUUCUUAUUAAUUCAGUGGCUAAUCAUUUGCUGAGAUCAAAAUGUUCAUGGAUGGUCACGAGAUUUGAGGAAAGAGUUUAAGUUUUGGAAUAGUCCCUACAGGGAAGAAAGAAGCUGCAAAAAGCAAGUAAAAGGACUCUCAUUGAGUCCUGAGAUGAGAUUUAGCAGCUCUAAGCUGUUACGCAACUUUCUGAAGUGACAUUCACCCCUGGAGAAAAGGAAUACAAGUGGUGGAUUGCCAGGUUCACCCCGGGGGGGUCAUUCUCUUUUAUGGAGACCAAGAGGGAUCACUGGCCACAUAGCCAAAGUAGGGUCCCCCAGAGCCAUGCCAGAUCAGCUUGCGUUGUUACCUGGAGCCAUGAAGUAGCCACAAUCACGGUCUUCGUUUAAAUGUAGGACAUG